GACAACUUUUAAUAAUAAACGUUAUGAUUUACCUACAAAUAGGGAUACUAUACUUAGCCUUUCAAACAAAUGAUUUCAAAGAAUACAAAAAUGAAUUGUGAUUUUUCUUCAAGUUCUCUUUUACCUUAUGUUGCUUAUCAUGAAAGGUAUUUUCCAAAUGAAUGAUCAGUUCAUUGAAAAGUAACAGCAAAGGUUGCACGGCUUACUGGAAAUACAUCCACAAGAGGACCAACAGCUCCUCCACUACCCAUCUUAUCAAUCAAGAGGCAACUGUCAUUUGACCAAGGAGAAAGGAAAACAACUGGCUUAUGAGUAAAAGCUGUGAUGUCCUUGCUGUGAUGACCUUCAUGAC
This 352-nucleotide long non-coding RNA is filed under the name Fukomys damarensis (Damara mole-rat). Its description in RNAcentral is "lncRNA (ENSFDAG00000023616.1)". Lineage: Eukaryota; Metazoa; Chordata; Mammalia; Rodentia; Bathyergidae. The record is from RNAcentral.